This 300-nucleotide ribosomal RNA is filed under the name Triticum aestivum (bread wheat). Its description in RNAcentral is "partial small subunit ribosomal RNA". The record is from RNAcentral. Lineage: Eukaryota; Viridiplantae; Streptophyta; Magnoliopsida; Poales; Poaceae.
AUGGUUGUUCCAUCACCGCUGGGGCAAGAAGCCAGACUACAGCCUAUAUAUGUGCCACAACUACAGAAGCUGAUUGGGACCCAAUCUAACAAAAAGGUAGUGGCUAGCCCAGGGCAAGUGAGUGAGGAUGGUGAUGCCAAGGAAGCAAGGGUAGAAGGAGAAGAUGAUGAAAAUUUGAAGCCAAGAAAGAUGGUGGCAACAUUCCAGCCGGGCUGCAGGGGACAGCAAAAGAAGGAUGCCAUAAGUGCCCCCUCCAAAAAAACAAGGAAAAUCUGGUGGCUAGAAGAAACCAAGCAUUAA